This 650-nucleotide ribosomal RNA is filed under the name uncultured Methanosarcina sp. Its description in RNAcentral is "bacterial SSU rRNA". It matches the Rfam family "Archaeal small subunit ribosomal RNA", at positions 187 to 853 of the family's 1478-position model. Lineage: Archaea; Methanobacteriati; Methanobacteriota; Methanomicrobia; Methanosarcinales; Methanosarcinaceae. The record is from RNAcentral.
GUAAAACGUUCGUCGCCCAGGAUGGUCUGCGGCGAUCAGGUAGUAGUGGGUGUAAUGCCAUACUAGCCGAUAACGGUACGGUUGUGAGAGCAAGAGCCGGAGAUGGACUCUGAGACAUGUUCCAGCCCUACGGGCGCAGCAGGCGCGAAAACUUUACAAUGCGGGCAACCGUGAUAAGGGAACACCGAGUGUCAGCAUCAUCUGCGGGCUUCCAGGAGUGUAAAUACACUUGUAGUAAGGGCCGGCAAGACCGGUGCCAGCCGCCGCGGAACACCGGCGGCCCGAGUGGUGAUCGUGAUUAUUGGGUCUAAAGGGUCCGUGGCCGUUUUGGUCAGUCCUCCGGGAAUUCCACUAGCUCAACUUUUGAGCUAUCGGGGGAUACUUCCAGACUCGGAACCGGGAGAGGUAAGAGGUACUACCGGGGUAGGAGUGAAAUCUUGUAAUCCCUGUGGGACCACCUGUGGCGAAGGCGUCUUACCAGAACGGACUCGACGGUGAGGGACGAAAGCCGGGGGCACGAACCGGAUUAGAUACCCGGGUAGUCCCAGCCGUAAACGAUGCUGACUAGGUGUCGGGCAGGGCGCGACCGGUCCGGUGCCGCAGGGAAGCCGUGAAGUGAGCCACCUGGGAAGUACGGCCGCAAGGCUGAA